Molecule: ribosomal RNA, 484 nt
Filed under: uncultured bacterium
Lineage: Bacteria
Description: partial 16S ribosomal RNA
Rfam family: Bacterial small subunit ribosomal RNA
Source: RNAcentral
AUUGAACGCUGGCGGCAGGCCUAACACAUGCAAGUCGAGCGGAUGAAGGGAGCUUGCUCCUGGAUUCAGCGGCGGACGGGUGAGUAAUGCCUAGGAAUCUGCCUGGUAGUGGGGGAUAACGUCCGGAAACGGGCGCUAAUACCGCAUACGUCCUGAGGGAGAAAGUGGGGGAUCUUCGGACCUCACGCUAUCAGAUGAGCCUAGGUCGGAUUAGCUAGUUGGUGGGGUAAAGGCCUACCAAGGCGACGAUCCGUAACUGGUCUGAGAGGAUGAUCAGUCACACUGGAACUGAGACACGGUCCAGACUCCUACGGGAGGCAGCAGUGGGGAAUAUUGGACAAUGGGCGAAAGCCUGAUCCAGCCAUGCCGCGUGUGUGAAGAAGGUCUUCGGAUUGUAAAGCACUUUAGGUUGGGAGGAAGGGCAGUAAGUUAAUAUCUUGCUGUUUUGACGUUACCAACAGAAUAAGCACCGGCUAACUUCGUG